CAGCACCUCAAGUGGUCAGGAGGAUUAUUGGGCCUAAAGCAUCCGUAGCUUGCUCUGUAAGUUUCCGGUUAAAUCCAUUAGCUCAACUAAUGGGCUGCCGGAAAAACUGCAUAGCUAGGGAGUGGGAGAGGUAGACGGUACUCGGUAGGAAGGGGUAAAAUCCUUUGAUCUAUUGAUGACCACCUGUGGCGAAGGCGGUCUACCAGAACACGUCCGACGGUGAGGGAUGAAAGCUGGGGGAGCAAACCGGAUUAGAUACCCGAGUAGUCC
RNAcentral lists this ribosomal RNA (270 nucleotides) under uncultured archaeon. RNAcentral describes it as "partial 16S ribosomal RNA". It matches the Rfam family "Archaeal small subunit ribosomal RNA", at positions 477 to 747 of the family's 1478-position model. The record is from RNAcentral.